CCAGCUUUGAACUUGAGAUUCUCCUGCCUCAGCCUCCUCCCAAGCCGCUGGGAUUACAGGAAACAAAUGGAUACAGAGCCAAAAACUGAGGAGUAGAUCUCAGGUCUCGCACGCAUUAUGGGCACCAUGAGGAGGUGAAAGGAGAGACCUUCGAGUUUUUCCUCAUACUACUGGAGAACUUUUUGAGACGAAGUCUCGCUGCGUUGCCCAGGCUGGCCCGGAACUCCCAGGCUCCAGCCAUCCUUCCUCCCUUAGCCUCCUGAGUGGAGGGGACCACAGGCGCGCACCACCGAGCCAGCCUGGCUAAUUUACCAGACGGAAACAUUGGAAAGUUUCGUAACUUUUACACUACUGAACCAGAUGAAUUAGGUGGCCAGAGGCGAGAAAGCAACAUCCCGACCGCUAGAGUAAAGCGCGCACCAGGGUGGACGAGAAACGGCGACCACGGGCCGCUGAGGGAUGGGAUCUGCGGGCGGCUGCUUGUGCUGCUACCUCAGCGCCUGGCUCAAGUCGCUCGUCCCCAGGGGGUCAAAGACUCUCGGGAGUUAUUCCCCGUGUCCGGGCUCCAGGACUGUCCCACGCUGUGUCUCUGCUCCACUCCUCCCUGGCCCUCUUGCAGAACUUGAUCUGGCCGAUAUGGGGCGGGCUUGCCUCUGCGUCCUGAAUCGCAGGCUGCCAGACCCCUUGACGUCCAUUUAAAUACCAGUGCUAGGAGAGGGCGAGGGGUCUGGUGGACCCAUGUGGAGAGUUAAGUUUCUUAUUCCUACGUGUAAGGCUCGGUCCCUUAAAAUCGGUAAUAUUGGUUGCUAGCCUGAAAUAACUCCAUCUCCUCUUUUCGUUAAAAACCGUGUAACUGCCCACUUUUUUCAUUUAUAAAAAAUAAUUGUUUUGGUAUCCUUUCUUCAUCUUUGGAGCAGAGCAAGUGACAGAACCUUGGUUAAAGACCAGGAAUAAGAGCAAGUAUAUGUUGCCAAUAAAGCACAUCCUGGCUCCAAAAGCCAUGGGUUCUUUUGAGGCCCACAGGAAGGCAGGAAGUGAUUGGAAUCAGGGAAGAUACUUGAUUUUUAAAAUUCUUUCCACACCCAGUUAGUUUUUCUCUCCUCCCUCAAAUUACCUUUGAUACCCCAAAUGUCACUUCUUCCAUCUAUAGUGUUGCAUUCUCUUUACUAAUUCUGCAAUUCCUCCAGCCUGAUUUCCUUGAGGUUAUAAAGUGAAUAGUAUUUAUUGCUAGAGUAUGCAGGCAGGCAAUAACAUUAUUUUAAUUAAGCAUCUGCCAAUAACCUUGACUGAUUUGGCCAUGGAAACUCUUAUUUUCUCAAAUUGUUUCUGGAGAUUUCCCUAAUCCCUCUUAUCAAAGAGGGAUUGAUAGGUAGGUCCUUCCCCAUCUCACCCUUACCCCAAAUUAGGAGUACUGGUUUAGAGAGCCACUGUUGUCUAGAGAUGAUAGUCAUAAAUGCUACUCCAGGUCUAGGGGGAAAGACUGUCCUAUAAUAAACCCAUAUUCCCAUGAAGAUUGAUUUACAUUUUGCUACAGUUCAGCUAUCAUGAGGUUUAAAUGUGUCUCUAUUGUCUACCUGGAAACCUAAGAUCUCUUACAGAUUCCUUCUCCAUUUACAGCGCAAGGCAUGCAUAUGCCAUUUUCAUAAUACUGGAUUUUCUUCAAAGCUACUAUUUAGUAAAAGGUUUAAUUGGCUUUGAGGUACACAUUAGCUCACAAAAUACUUUUUGUAAUAAACUGGAGAUUCCAUCUAGGAUGUGGCACAUGCUAGCAGGCAAGCACUCUACUGAGUUACACUCCCAGCCCUUUUUUUUUAUAUUGAGACAAACUCUUGCUAAGUUACCCAGGCUGGCCUGAAACUUUGGAUGCUCCUGCCUCAGCUUCCCCAGUAGCUGCAAUUAUAGGUGUGGGCCCUGAAGUCCAGCUCAAUUCAUUAAUUUUUUUUUAAAUCUAUCUUUUGUUGUUGAAAC
Molecule: long non-coding RNA, 1968 nt
Organism: Sciurus carolinensis (gray squirrel)
Lineage: Eukaryota; Metazoa; Chordata; Mammalia; Rodentia; Sciuridae
Exons: 3
Source: RefSeq, a predicted model, not a curated record